This 314-nucleotide ribosomal RNA is filed under the name uncultured bacterium. Its description in RNAcentral is "bacterial SSU rRNA". It matches the Rfam family "Bacterial small subunit ribosomal RNA", at positions 32 to 335 of the family's 1533-position model. The record is from RNAcentral.
AAUCAACGCUGGACGGCGUGCCUAACACAUGCAAGUCGAACGAGAAAGUCCCCGCAAGGGGGAUGAGUACAGUGGCGACCGGGUGAGUAACACGUGACUAACCUACCCUGAAGCGGGGAAUAACCUCGGGAAACCGGGGCUAAUACCGCAUACCUUCCAGAGGGGAAGCUCCUGUGGAGGAAACGAGCAAUCGGCUUUUAGGAGGGGGUCGCGCCCGAUUACGGUAGUUGGCGGGGUAAUGGCCCACCAAGCCUUUGANCGGUAGCCGGCCUGAGAGGGCGCACGGCCACACUGGAACUGAAACACGGUCCAGA